This 31-nucleotide non-coding RNA is filed under the name Mus musculus (house mouse). Lineage: Eukaryota; Metazoa; Chordata; Mammalia; Rodentia; Muridae. The record is from RNAcentral.
UGGUUGAUGGACUAAACAUCAACUUGGUUGU